Molecule: ribosomal RNA, 216 nt
Filed under: Glomeromycotina sp.
Lineage: Eukaryota; Fungi; Glomeromycota
Description: partial small subunit ribosomal RNA
Rfam family: Eukaryotic small subunit ribosomal RNA (bases 40-216)
Source: RNAcentral
GGGUCAGUAGGUUGGUCGUGCCACCGGUACGUACUGGUCUCACUGAUUCCUCCUUCCUGAAGAACCGUAAUGCCAUUAAUUUGGUGUUGCGGGGAAACAGGACUGUUACUUUGAAAAAAUUAGAGUGUUUAAAGCAAGCUAACGCUUGAAUAAAUUAGCAUGGGAUAAUGAAAUAGGACGAUCGAUCCUAUUUUGUUGGUUUCUAGGAUUGACGUA